UGUUUGGGGUCCUAACGAGACCCUUGUAAUCAAUACAGCAGUUUCUUUGAAUAAUAACGAUAACGACGAAACUGAACAAUUAAAAACAUGUACCUGUAUCUGGUACUGAGGUUCUGAUGGAUGAAAGUCCGAGUCUGAAUCUCCAGGGGCAGGAAGCCGAGCAGCAGACAAGUCCACGCCGGCAGGAGUGCACUCAUGACCGCGCUCGGGAGACUCGCAGCAAGUGGUACCCUUGAGCUGGAUCUCACAGGAAGGAGUCCUAGAGCCAUGAUGAGGUCCCGCAGUGGCUCCGUGUCCUGCGCAUCCAGGAGCGCGUGCUGCCUGCAGAAGAGCGUGAGGUGUGUGAAAAGUGUGUUGAGAUGUGGGUGCAGCCCCAGUGCAAGCGUCUCUCGGUAGUGGGACCAGUAAAUGUGGGCCAGAGUCCUGAACAGCAGCAAAAAGACCUUCUGGACGAGAAAGAUGAAGCCUGUGGGGAACACUGAACCUGGUGGUAGAGAUGAGCACUUUAGUCAGAAUCGGUGAUGCUCAACUGAAUAAAAAGUUUGUAACUUUUACCUGCUUUUGUAGGGAACACAUCUUCAUCAGUUAGUAGAUCCUGAAUGUAGGACAUGGCAUAGUCAAAGUAAAGUGGAGCGGAACACUUCAGCUUCCUGCCGUGGUCAUCGGUCCAAAAAUAAACUCUAAAACAA
Molecule: long non-coding RNA, 689 nt
Organism: Doryrhamphus excisus (bluestripe pipefish)
Lineage: Eukaryota; Metazoa; Chordata; Actinopteri; Syngnathiformes; Syngnathidae
Source: RefSeq, a predicted model, not a curated record